Molecule: ribosomal RNA, 245 nt
Filed under: uncultured bacterium
Lineage: Bacteria
Also listed under: 1 other name
Description: partial 16S ribosomal RNA
Rfam family: Bacterial small subunit ribosomal RNA
Source: RNAcentral
UACGGAGGGUGCAAGCGUUACUCGGAAUCACUGGGCGUAAAGAGCACGUAGGCGGCCUUGCAAGUCAGAUGUGAAAUCCAACGGCUUAACCGUUGAACUGCAUUUGAAACUGCAAGGCUAGAGUAUGGGAGAGGUAGGUGGAAUUCUCGGUGUAGGGGUAAAAUCCGUAGAGAUCGAGAGGAAUACUCAUUGCGAAGGCGACCUGCUGGAACAUUACUGACGCUGAGGUGCGAAAGCGUGGGGAG